GAAAAAGAAAAGAAAAUUUCACUCUUACACAAAGCGCCGCCUUCCUCUUUUUCACCUGUAAGCUUCCCCAAACCCUCUCCAUCCCUUUUGUCUCUUCGCUUUCUCGCUCUCUCUUUCCUUCAUCAAUGAAAGAUUGAUUUUGCUACUGGGUUGGGUUAACUCACGUAACCAUUGCCAUCGCCGACCACCAUCACCACCACCGUAACCAUUGCCGAUAGCCGUCGUCCAUCAUCCUACUCCUUGGACUUCAUUUCCAUUCGAUUCAUCUCAGAUCUGCAUCUCUGUCAUCGUUGUUCGUCUCAGAUCUACGUCGCUCAUGCCUUGUUCUGCUCUACUCCGUCGUGUUUUUCUACUCGCACCGUUCUGAAACCUGUGCUCUGCUCCGCGUUCUAAAACCUUUGCUCUGCUCUGCCGUGGUGCCGUGUUCUAUCUUCUCAGGCAAAUCAACAACUCUUCGCCGUUCACCUCUUUCACUCAAGCCUCUCGCCUCAGCCUCGGUCCUCAGCAUUUCUUCCUUCAUCGUCGUCGUUGAAGGCUUGUAGAUUGAUUUUACAUACUACUUGAUUAAUUUAGUUGAAUUGUUGAAUUAAUAACAAUAGUUCCAAUAUACAUCUCUCUCUCUCUCCACGCACAUCUCUUUCAGUUUAAUCGAUUGAAGAAGCUUACAUAAUCCUUUUCUUCUUUUCAUUGUUUUUGCAAUUUCGAGUUCGAUCAUGUCGAAGGACAAAGACUUUACUGAUUUGUCGCUUGCCUUCAAACACCUCUUAGGCAUCUUAUGGCUCUGUGUUUUCCUCUGAAGAUUAUCAAAGAAGUGUUACUAAUGAGAGACGGCCCUUGAAAAAGCCAAGCAACUAGUAAGGAACUUAGAAACAAAGCUUGAUUCAGCUAAUGCUCAGCACCUUAAGGAGAAAGAAGAAUGGGGACUAAGCCUUAAAAAUGUAGAAGAAACGUGGCGAAUGAAAUGUGACUCAAUGAAGGCUGAAAACGAAGCAACUGCUGCACAAGAUAUGAAAAAGGAUUUGCAAGAGAUCAAACUGCAAUAUAAAAAAUUGAAGGUUUAACAUGCUUCAUUUCAUGAUAUUGCUGAUAAAAUGAUUGAGGAGAAGGAUAAUGAAAUAUCUAGACUUUCAGAUGAUAAUAAGAAUCUUCGUCAAUCUCUUCAAUCAAGACCACAGGUUGACCACAGUGACAAUGAUAAUUAUAACACAGUAUAACGUUUUCUGGAUUUAAAUAUUAUUUCAACUGUUCUGGACAACCUCGCAUAAAGUGGAUUCAACGAAUUUAAGCCCCUUUGCUGCAGAACAGCAAAUUCUGCUCCUAGCUAGACAACAAGCUCAAAGAAAAGAAGAACUAGCACGAUCACAGCGCCAUAUCUUAGCUCUUCAAGUAUGUCUUAAAGCUUCUUGAGACAGGUGAAGUGGAAGUAUUGCUACCAGUUAUUGGGAUGCUUCUCCAGUUUAAUCCACAAGAGGAUCAAGGUCACGCUCUUCAAAUUAAUUCCCUUUCAGCUGUGGAGGAACCCUUAGUUGCAAAAGCAAAAUGUGGAAAUUGGGAGAUCGACAAGAGAUUGUUGAAGAUAGGAGAAAGAAUAGCAUCUAGAUCUUGUGGAGAUUUGUAAUUUGUAGCAUUUUUUGCUGUUUGGAUUUGUAACAUGGUUUAUUAUUUUUUAGAAAAAUUUGUGUAUCAAUAUUUUGAGUUUAAUAAAAUAUCUCAUUUUAUAAUAA
Molecule: long non-coding RNA, 1724 nt
Organism: Arachis stenosperma
Lineage: Eukaryota; Viridiplantae; Streptophyta; Magnoliopsida; Fabales; Fabaceae
Exons: 10
Source: RefSeq, a predicted model, not a curated record